This 253-nucleotide ribosomal RNA is filed under the name uncultured bacterium. RNAcentral describes it as "partial 16S ribosomal RNA". It matches the Rfam family "Bacterial small subunit ribosomal RNA", at positions 524 to 776 of the family's 1533-position model. The record is from RNAcentral.
UACGUAGGUGGCAAGCGUUGUCCGGAUUUCUUGGGCUUAAAGGGUGCGUAGGUGGCCCUGUAAGUCAGUGGUGAAAUAUCUCAGCUUAACUGAGAGGGUGCCAUUGAUACUGCAGGGCUUGAGUACAGAUGAGGUAGGCGGAAUUGACGGUGUAGCGGUGAAAUGCAUAGAUAUCGUCAAGAACACCGAUAGCGAAGGCAGCUUACCAAGCUGUAACUGACACUGAGGCACGAAAGUGUGGGGAUCAAACAGG